AGCAGUGGCUGCAGUGUAGGGGGGCUGGGGAUCAGGCUCAUUCCAGUAUAGGUCCUUCUCCAGAAUGGGUAAAUCCUGGUGCAUCUCAUCCACAGCCAUAAGGGAGACCUGCAGGGGACAGCAGAAGUGUCAUAUGGGGUAAGCAGCGUUACACAUAGAAUCAGGGGAUGGUUUGUGUUGGAAGGGAGCUUAAAGCCCAUCCAGUUCCAACCCCUGCUACGGGCAGGGACACCUUCCACUGGAGCAGCUUGCUCCAAGCCCCUGUGUCCAACCUGGCCUUGAACACUGCCAGGGAUGGGGCAGCCACAGCUUCUCUGGGCACCCUGUGCCAGCGCCUCAGCACCCUCCCAGGGAAGAGCUUCUGCCUAAGAGCUCAUCUUGGUCUCCCCUCAGGCAGGUUAAAGCCAUUCCCCUUGGCCUGUCCCUACAGACCCUAGUCCAAAGCCUCUCUCCAUGUUUGCUGUAGCUCCUUUAGGCACAGGAGCUGCUCUAAGGUCUCCCCUUCAGGAGUCUUCUCUUCUCCUGCUGAGGGGGAACACUGAGCUGUCCCCCAUAACCCUCAUGUUUGUUGGGAAGCUUUACACUCUCCUGCUCUCCUUGACAUCUCCGUUUGGAAAUCCUAGGCCCCUUCUUAACAUGCAGCCAGCUCAGGAAAGCACAAGGGCACUGCUUCUCCACCCAUUGCAGGCAUGGGAAGUGGAUGGUGAAGGUGUUGCAGAGCUUUGCACUGACAGGGCUUGCUGAAGCCAUAGGUGCACUCCUACUUUGGUGUUCCUCUGCAGGUGAGGGUCAUCAGAGGUCCCUGCCUUCACUUUACCUGUAGAUUCCUGUCAAUGAGCCAGUUGGUUUCAAAGUCAUCAUCAUCCUCUCCAAAAGGGUUGAUGAGCUGCUCAGCCACCUGCAUAUGGAGAGAACAUAGCAAAGGUCACCAUGGUCAUCCCUGCCACUUCCCCCACUGGAAGAAGGCCUGUUGGGCAGAGUCAAGCAUAUACCUUGAACAGAGCAAUGCUGUUCCUCCCAAAAGGGAUGGUUUAAAGCAGGAGGCUGUGUCCGAUUCCAGCUCCAGGUGUAUUUUCUUGGACUUACCUUUAACCAGCCAGCAUAGAAGAAGAACUGCAGAAACGUAAAGACGGGCACAAAGAGAUCUAGUUCAUGGCCAGGAUAUGCUUUUUCUGGAUCCAGGAACUGCCGCCCGAUCAGACAAGCCAGGAAGAAGCUGUAAACAGCCACGGUCACCACCUGGGAAAGAUGCCAGAGGAGCUUGAGUUCCCAGCCUUUCUCUUCAGUUCCACCCCACACAUCUCCAAACAGCAACAAGCUGCUUCUGGAUCUGUAGCUUUUUGAAAGCCUUGGAUUCAGUGAUCAUAGAAUCAGAGUGGUUUGGGUUGGAGGGGACCUUAAAGAGCACCUGCUUAUGACAGGCUUCUCUGCUUUCUGUAGGAAGAUGCAUUUUGACUUUAAAUAUGCUCUUUGCCCUUUAGUCGUUAUGUUGCUAUGUAAUAUGAAAUACACGUAUGUAACAUGAAAUACACUGUAUUUCAUUCCAUGCUGUCCCUGGAAUGACAUCUGUGUAGGCAUCACAGAAAGAAAGCAAGUGACAUCCUGGAUGGAAAGAGCUGAAACGACUGACACAUGGCUGCCUGGUUGUUCUGCUGCCGAGAUACGUCCUUCCUUGUGGCUUUCCGUCUGUAUCCUAGAGACCUCCAGUGUAAUAUCCUUAGGGGCAGGCUUGGCUCACUGUCCUACCUCACCAUUCCUAUUCCUUGCCUGACUCUGGAAGUCCCUGUAGCUCCACAUAAGGUCCCAGGUGAGGAUCCAAGAUAGCUGCCUGUUGCCUGGCACUCACAUUCAGGAUGCCUUGGAGCAGCACGCUGUCCCGGAUCCUCCCCUCAUUCCUUGCCUUCACAGCCAGGUUGGAGAACCACACACACGGGAUCCAAAACUUGUUGUGUGGGGAAUUCAAGCUCUCAAACUUCUUGUGCUCUUCUGGUGUCAUGAGGCCUGGGUGGAAAAGAGUAGAUGGGAGAAGGAUGACUGUAAAGGGCAGAAAGGAACAAACUGGUCUGAAAAGAAAACUUAAAUCUCAGGUGGUCACCUUGGCUGUCCUUAAAAAUAACAGGGAAUACUCAAGCACUCAGCUUUUGGGAGACACAUAGAAGAGGAUGAGUCUUGUUAAAACAUUCAGUUAUAGAAGUGUGAGGGGCAGGCUUUAUCUCAUUUCAUUUCAGAAGUCUACAGCACAUCUGACCAGGUCACAGUCAGCAGGGAGAUAAAGUACUGCUGAGGGUGCAAUUGCUUGGUGUACAUAGAUGUUUGCUGAGAAUGGGGUAACUUGUGUCCUAAAAGUGCCUGUUUCUCUCUCUGGAUUGCAAAGGGAAACCAGUUGAGUAGGGUUCUAAUUGACAUAUCCCUCUGGGGAGGGAAAUGUCAUAUCUUGAGAAGCAUCUUCAGAGAGGAUUCAGGGAGCCCAGCACUUGAGGUCAGAGGCUCCAAUUCCCACCUGCCCAGUGGAAAACUGUUGCCCUGAGGGAGGAUGAACAUUCCACUUGGAAACCAAGUUCAUGAUCCGGUCAGGCCAUGGUAUGCUCUCAUACUGAGCCCACCAGCGGGACACCACCAGAGCCACGUAGAAACCUAGAGGAUCAGCCUAAAAGGAAGAAACAGAAGCAUCAGCCUCAAAGAAGAGUCUGUGCCUUGUUGGGCCUGCUGAGGUAUAGGAGUCUGGCAAAGGAAGCCAAGGAUGUGUACUCAGAACACUCCCAUGCCAUGAGAAUGAGUGAACACCACUCAUGAGCCCACCUCCCAGAAUACCCUGCUGACCAGUCCAAAGGAGCCCAAAUGGUCACUGACAGAGAGUAACCAUCAAAUGCACCUCUUAAUCUCAGAGAAGAGAAACUGUGUUACUUCCCAGGACAGAAAAAGGAGAUUUAUUAUCUGCUAAGCAGCAUAGGAGCCAUAAGGAAGGACCUUUCCUCCUGUGCACAGAGGCUGGUGAGUGGCUGGCCAGCUCUUCUUCAGCAGCAUCAUUAUCCCAACCCUGCACUGCUCAGUUGUCCUGCUCCAGGACAAGCUGAGAGUGAUGGGUUGUGUUAGUGUUAAUGUACAAGGAUGCUUACCUGUAGACAAG
This is a long non-coding RNA of Pezoporus occidentalis (night parrot), 3127 nucleotides long. RefSeq lists it as uncharacterized. The record is from RefSeq and is a predicted model, not a curated record. The transcript has 5 exons. NCBI's taxonomy places the organism in Eukaryota, Metazoa, Chordata, Aves, Psittaciformes, Psittacidae.